GACGAACGCUGGCGGCGUGCUUAACACAUGCAAGUCGAACGGAAAGGCCUCUUUCGGGGGGUACUCGAGUGGCGAACGGGUGAGUAACACGUGAGUAACCUGCCCUUGACUUUGGGAUAACUUCAGGAAACUGGGGCUAAUACCGGAUAGGAGCUCCUGCUGCAUGGGGGGGGUUGGAAAGUUUCGGCGGUUGGGGAUGGACUCGCGGCUUAUCAGCUUGUUGGUGGGGUAGUGGCUUACCAAGGCUUUGACGGGUAGCCGGCCUGAGAGGGUGACCGGCCACAUUGGGACUGAGAUACGGCCCAGACUCCUACGGGAGGCAGCAGUGGGGAAGAUUGCACAAUGGGUGGAAGCCUGAUGCAGCAACGCCGUGUGCGGGAUGACGGCCUUCGGGUUGUAAACCGCUUUCGCUCAUGACGAAGCUUUGUGUGACGGUAGUGGGUAAAGAAGCACCGGCUAACUACGUG
RNAcentral lists this ribosomal RNA (467 nucleotides) under uncultured bacterium. Its description in RNAcentral is "partial 16S ribosomal RNA". It matches the Rfam family "Bacterial small subunit ribosomal RNA", at positions 28 to 507 of the family's 1533-position model. The record is from RNAcentral.